GCGUCCCCAUUAGCUAGUUGGUGAGGUAACAGCUCACCUAGGCUAAGACGGGUAACCGGACUGAGAGGUCGAACGGUCACACUGGAACUGAGACACGGUCCAGACUCCUACGGGAGGCAGCAGUGGGGAAUUUUGGGCAAUGGGGGGAACCCUGACCCAGCGACGCCGCGUGAGUGAAGAAAUUCCUCGGAAUGUAAAGCUCUGUUGUAUGGGAAGAUAAUGACGGUACCAUACGAGGAAGCCCCGGCAAACUACGUGCCAGCAGCCGCGGUAAUACGUAGGGGGCAAGCGUUGUCCGGAAUUACUGGGCGUAAAGCGCACGCAGGCGGAAUUGUAAGUCCGUUGUAAAAUUCAGAGGCUCAACCUCUGUCUGUCGGCGGAUACUGCAAAUCUAGAGUAUGUGAGAGGGAAGUGGAAUUCCUGGUGUAGCGGUGAAAUGCGUAGAUAUCAGGAGGAACUCCGGUGGCGAAGGCGACUUCCUGGCACAAGACUGACGCUCAUGUGCGAAAGCUAGGGUAGCGAACGGGAUUAGAUACCCCGGUAGUCCUAGCCGUAAAUGAUGGAUACUAGGUGUGGGUGUCGCAGGGCAUCCGUGCCGCAGUUAACGCGUUAAGUAUCCCGCCUGGGGACUACGGUCGCAAGACUGAAACUCAAAGGAAUUGACGG
This 666-nucleotide ribosomal RNA is filed under the name uncultured bacterium. RNAcentral's name for it is "bacterial SSU rRNA". It matches the Rfam family "Bacterial small subunit ribosomal RNA", at positions 233 to 916 of the family's 1533-position model. The record is from RNAcentral.